This 220-nucleotide non-coding RNA is filed under the name Lachnoclostridium sp. RNAcentral describes it as "Lysine sequence". It matches the Rfam family "Lysine riboswitch aptamer". From Rfam's summary of the family: Riboswitches are metabolite binding domains within certain messenger RNAs that serve as precision sensors for their corresponding targets. Allosteric rearrangement of mRNA structure is mediated by ligand binding, and this results in modulation of gene expression. Lineage: Bacteria; Bacillati; Bacillota; Clostridia; Lachnospirales; Lachnospiraceae. The record is from RNAcentral.
GGAUGCGAUAGAGGCGCGGUAAGCAUUAGUAUCUGUGUGAUAAUGGAUGCCAUCCACAGGGUGGCGGACAGCGGGGAUCUUUGUCCCGGAGGCCGGCAGGCGGAGAACACAGAGAAAGGGAUUACUGCCGAAACAGAUUCUGUCUGCCGGCGGAAUGUGUUGGGAUGCAGUCAAACAGGCUGCAUACUCUCACUUUUAAAGUGGUGGAGCUAUUGGCUGG